CGCGGCCUAUCAGCUUGUUGGCGGGGUAACGGCCCACCAAGGCAACGACGGGUAGCUGGUUUGAGAGAACGAUCAGCCACACUGGAACUGAGACACGGUCCAGACUUCUACGGAAGGCAGCAGUAGGGAAUCUUGCGCAAUGGGCGAAAGCCUGACGCAGCGACGCCGCGUGCGGGAUGACGGCCCUAGUGGUUGUAAACCGCUUUCAGCAGGGACGAAAAUGACGGUACCUGCAGAAGAAGUCCCGGCUAACUACGUGCCAGCAGCCGCGGUAAUACGUAGGGGACAAGCGUUGUCUGGAUUCAUUGGGCGUAAAGAGCUCGUAGGCGGUUCAGUAAGUUGGGUGUGAAAGCUCCGGGCUCAACCCGGAGAGGCCACUCAAUACUGCUGUGACUAGAGUCCAGUAGAGGAGCGUGGAACUCCUGGUGUAGCGGUGAAAUGCGCAGAUAUCAGGAAGAACACCGGCAGCGAAGGCGGCGCUCUGGGCUGGUACUGACGCUGAGGAGCGAAAGCAUGGGUAGCAAACAGGAUUAGAUACCCUGGUAGUCCAUGCCGUAAACGUUGGGCACUAGGUGUGGGGAGGAAUCAACCCUCUCCGUGCCGUAGCUAACGCAUUAAGUGCCCCGCCUGGGGAGUACGG
RNAcentral lists this ribosomal RNA (640 nucleotides) under uncultured bacterium. RNAcentral describes it as "bacterial SSU rRNA". It matches the Rfam family "Bacterial small subunit ribosomal RNA", at positions 232 to 885 of the family's 1533-position model. The record is from RNAcentral.